Molecule: non-coding RNA, 74 nt
Organism: Hysterangium stoloniferum
Lineage: Eukaryota; Fungi; Basidiomycota; Agaricomycetes; Hysterangiales; Hysterangiaceae
Source: the annotation of a GenBank genome assembly
GGUCCAGUAGCUCAGGUGGCAGAGUCCCAGCACAUAUAGCCAGGAGGUCCUUAGCUCAAUCCUAGGCUGGGUUA